CCGCUGCCGGCCCAGCGCUUUGGGGAGUGACUUCCGGCCAUGCGGGGCCUCUACCGCUGCCAUCGCGGUCCCGGUCUCCUGAAGUGGAACCCGGCUUGGAGUCGAGCGCGACCCCUCGCCCGUGGGCGCAGGCGAUCGAGUAAGGGUGGGGCGGGCCUCAAACCCGGAUCAGAACCCGCCCUGACCGGCGCAGAGAUACGGGACGCAGCCUAAGCAAGGCCCGGGAAGAAGUUGGGUUUCCCUGCCAUCCUUCCUGCCCCAGCCCCUCAUCCUCAACUCACCAUCAACCCUUCCACGAUCCCAAAUCGCUCGUGGAUGACUUUGGCGAGGGGAGCCAAACAGUUGGUGGUGCAGGACGCGUUGCUGAAACAGCCAAGGUGUGCACGGACACUGUGAGGUGGUGACCUCCCCAACUCAGCCCUCAACCUCCUCAGAGGCGCCAAUGCUGACUGCUGUCAGCCAGCCCAGACCCUUUCUCCAUAUGCUGCCCGGGACGUGGACUCUGUGACUGUGAGGCCUGCCCGGCUGCUUUCUGCUUCCCAGCUCUGACAACCUCGCCAUGAACCCUCCUAGACCCUCAGCUCCUGCAAUAGGAAGCUGGCUGCCAAAGGCCAGGAGGGUCCCUGAAAACAGACACUGCAUUAAAGAAAAAGCUCCUGGAGGACUCCUGAAGCCUGAGGCAGCCUUGGGGCAGCAGUGGCUCAUGGUUUACAUUGGAAAGGUUUAUCAUGAGUAACCGGGUGCUUUGCUUCUGUGAUUCUUGGCCAGUGUCGGUCUGUUUCCUUUGCCAUUGAGCCUGCUCCCCUCAAUGGGGGGUUCAAUCAAUGUUUGUGGGGUUUGUUUGUUUUGAGACAGGGUCUUCCUCUGUCGCCCAGGCUGGAGUGCAGUGGUGCAAUCAGAGCUCACUGCAGCCUUGAUCUUCCUGGCUCCGGCCAUCCUCCUGCCUUGGCCUCCCGAGUAGCUGGGACUACAGGCGCACACCACCAUGCCAAGCUAAUUUUUAAAUUUUUUUGUAGAGAUGGGGUCUCACUUUUGUUGCCCAGGGUGCUUUAGAACCCCUGGGCUCAAGUGAUCCUUGACCUCCCACAGUGCUGGGAUUACAGGUGUGAGCCACCGUGCCUGGCCUCAUGGGUUUUCUUUGUUUUGUUUUGUUUUGUUUUUGAGACAGAGUCUCACUCUGUCACUCAGGCUGGAGUGCAGUGGCACGAUUUUGGCUCACUGCAACCUCCACCUUCCGGGUUCAAGCGAUUCUCCUGCCUCCGCCUCCCGAGUAGUUGGGGUUACAGGCAUGCGCUACCACACCUGGCUAGUUUUUUAUUGUUGUUGUUUUUUGUAUUUUUAGUGGUGACGGGGUUUGCUCUGUUGGCCAGGCUGGUCUCAAACUCCUGACCUCAGGUGAUCCCCACUUCAGCCUCCCAAAGUGCUGGGAUGACAGGCAUGAGCCUCUGCACCUGGCCUCGUGUUUUUUUUUUAGUUAGCCAUUUUAUACGUGUUUACUGAACACCUGUCCUGUGCCCAUAUUCUAAGUGCCUUACCUGCAUUAAACUCAUGUAACCUUCACAACCCGAUGAGGAAGUGCUACCGCUGUCAUUUUUUGCAUUUUUUUACUGCUGUCAGGGCAGAGGGGAGGGGAG
Molecule: long non-coding RNA, 1634 nt
Filed under: Homo sapiens (human)
Lineage: Eukaryota; Metazoa; Chordata; Mammalia; Primates; Hominidae
Description: PREDICTED lncRNA (TCONS_00141423)
Source: RNAcentral